GGUUAAGCGACUAAGCGUACACGGUGGAUGCCCUGGCAGUCAGAGGCGAUGAAGGACGUGCUAAUCUGCGAUAAGCGUCGGUAAGGUGAUAUGAACCGUUAUAACCGGCGAUUUCCGAAUGGGGAAACCCAGUGUGAUUCGUCACACUAUCAUUAACUGAAUCCAUAGGUUAAUGAGGCGAACCGGGGGAACUGAAACAUCUAAGUACCCCGAGGAAAAGAAAUCAACCGAGAUUCCCCCAGUAGCGGCGAGCGAACGGGGAGGAGCCCAGAGCCUGAAUCAGUGUGUGUGUUAGUGGAAGCGUCUGGAAAGGCGCGCGAUACAGGGUGACAGCCCCGUACACAAAAAUGCACAUACUGUGAGCUCGAUGAGUAGGGCGGGACACGUGGUAUCCUGUCUGAAUAUGGGGGGACCAUCCUCCAAGGCUAAAUACUCCUGACUGACCGAUAGUGAACCAGUACCGUGAGGGAAAGGCGAAAAGAACCCCGGCGAGGGGAGUGAAAAAGAACCUGAAACCGUGUACGUACAAGCAGUGGGAGCCUCUUUAUGGGGUGACUGCGUACCUUUUGUAUAAUGGGUCAGCGACUUAUAUUCUGUAGCAAGGUUAACCGAAUAGGGGAGCCGAAGGGAAACCGAGUCUUAACUGGGCGUUAAGUUGCAGGGUAUAGACCCGAAACCCGGUGAUCUAGCCAUGGGCAGGUUGAAGGUUGGGUAACACUAACUGGAGGACCGAACCGACUAAUGUUGAAAAAUUAGCGGAUGACUUGUGGCUGGGGGUGAAAGGCCAAUCAAACCGGGAGAUAGCUGGUUCUCCCCGAAAGCUAUUUAGGUAGCGCCUCGUGAAUUCAUCUCCGGGGGUAGAGCACUGUUUCGGCAAGGGGGUCAUCCCGACUUACCAACCCGAUGCAAACUGCGAAUACCGGAGAAUGUUAUCACGGGAGACACACGGCGGGUGCUAACGUCCGUCGUGAAGAGGGAAACAACCCAGACCGCCAGCUAAGGUCCCAAAGUCAUGGUUAAGUGGGAAACGAUGUGGGAAGGCCCAGACAGCCAGGAUGUUGGCUUAGAAGCAGCCAUCAUUUAAAGAAAGCGUAAUAGCUCACUGGUCGAGUCGGCCUGCGCGGAAGAUGUAACGGGGCUAAACCAUGCACCGAAGCUGCGGCAGCGACACUAUGUGUUGUUGGGUAGGGGAGCGUUCUGUAAGCCUGUGAAGGUGUACUGUGAGGUAUGCUGGAGGUAUCAGAAGUGCGAAUGCUGACAUAAGUAACGAUAAAGCGGGUGAAAAGCCCGCUCGCCGGAAGACCAAGGGUUCCUGUCCAACGUUAAUCGGGGCAGGGUGAGUCGA
RNAcentral lists this ribosomal RNA (1345 nucleotides) under Escherichia coli. Its description in RNAcentral is "partial 23S ribosomal RNA". It matches the Rfam family "Bacterial large subunit ribosomal RNA", at positions 1 to 1387 of the family's 2925-position model. The record is from RNAcentral. Lineage: Bacteria; Pseudomonadati; Pseudomonadota; Gammaproteobacteria; Enterobacterales; Enterobacteriaceae.